UGCAGUCGAGCGAUGGAUUGAGAGCUUGCUCUCAAGAAGUUAGCGGCGGACGGGUGAGUAACACGUGGGUAACCUGCCCAUAAGACUGGGAUAACUCCGGGAAACCGGGGCUAAUACCGGAUAACAUUUUGAACUGCAUGGUUCGAAAUUGAAAGGCGGCUUCGGCUGUCACUUAUGGAUGGACCCGCGUCGCAUUAGCUAGUUGGUGAGGUAACGGCUCACCAAGGCAACGAUGCGUAGCCGACCUGAGAGGGUGAUCGGCCACACUGGGACUGAGACACGGCCCAGACUCCUACGGGAGGCAGCAGUAGGGAAUCUUCCGCAAUGGACGAAAGUCUGACGGAGCAACGCCGCGUGAGUGAUGAAGGCUUUCGGGUCGUAAAACUCUGUUGUUAGGGAAGAACAAGUGCUAGUUGAAUAAGCUGGCACCUUGACGGUACCUAACCAGAAAGCCACGGCUAACUACGUGCCAGCAGCCGCGGUAAUACGUAGGUGGCAAGCGUUAUCCGGAAUUAUUGGGCGUAAAGCGCGCGCAGGUGGUUUCUUAAGUCUGAUGUGA
RNAcentral lists this ribosomal RNA (559 nucleotides) under uncultured bacterium. RNAcentral describes it as "bacterial SSU rRNA". It matches the Rfam family "Bacterial small subunit ribosomal RNA", at positions 56 to 597 of the family's 1533-position model. The record is from RNAcentral.